This 2626-nucleotide unclassified non-coding RNA is filed under the name Hevea brasiliensis (rubber tree). Lineage: Eukaryota; Viridiplantae; Streptophyta; Magnoliopsida; Malpighiales; Euphorbiaceae. The record is from RNAcentral.
UUAAAAAAAUAAUUAUAAAAUAUAAUGAUGUGGACUUCCAUGUUAGCAUUUUAUUGGAAGAACAGUCGGAUUCUAGUAAGGACUUUAAUGAUACUCAAAUCGAAGUCAAAGGAGUUUUAUUAUACAAAUUAAUAUUUAUUUUAAAUUAUAAAAAGUAAAAAUAAAAUAUUUACAAUUCAAAUUAAAAAAAAAUAGAGUUUAAAUAAAUUAAAUUUAAUGAGUUAAUUUAAAUCACUUACAUUCAUUUUCAUUUACACUUAUCCCCAACAAUAGUCUCUGUUGCUCUCUUGCAUCAGCCUAUCUCCUCUUCUUCUUUUGUCCCUAUGCACAUCCGAUCUUCGUUCCUGUCACUCUUUGUCACAGCCCUGAUCUCACUCUCUAUCCCAAUCUUAAUGUUGUUCUUUUUCUACAGGCCAUCAAUCUCAACCUACACCCUGCAGAUUUGCCACUGCUCCUUUAUCAUGAUAUUAUAGGAGUAUAAUAAUAAUAAAUAACUACAAUGAAGUUGUUUACAGGGAAGAAUUGGUAGUAUUUUGCUGAAAAAAAUAAGAAAAAUUCAUUUCAUAAAGGAAUGCUCUGGAUGCACCAUACGAGGGAAAUUAUUCUAUUCUCCAAGCACACAGAAGGAAUGCAGCUCCCGGCUGAAGAAUUAUGUGCUAAUCAUUUCUAAUGCACUACGAACUCACAGACGGAAAUUUCACUAGUGACAUUACAGAACUUUAGUAAAUGCACAACUCGCUUGGAUAGACGUCUCAGGUUGAGACUUGGCCAUCUCUGGGUGGGGUAUUGCCAAACUUCCAUGUAUGACGGAUGUUCCUAGUUCUCAACCCAGCAACUUCAUCGGCUGGAACAGCAUCGGAGACUUCCUUAAACUCAUCUUUUGUCAGCUUAAUUCUCAGUGCUCCAAUAUUGUUAUCCAGAUUUUUAAUCUUGGUUGUGCCUAAACAAAGCCCAAGAACACAUUGCAUACCAGAAUUUUGGAAAGUCAAUCUAAAUAUCUGCAGUUCAAAUUGGAGAAUUGAAGGCAUGAACAAAAGGGAGAAGCUGACCCGCCAGGGAUGGGAACUACAACAUCUCCUUGAUUGAGAACCCAAGCAAGGGCAAGCUGAGCAGGAGUGCAUAGCCAAAUUUUCUACUCGACUAUAUAAUACCUUAUUCUGUUCUAAAUUUUCUCCUGUGAACCUUGGCAAGAAUCUCAGAUACAGGUUUUGAGUUUUAGUACCAGAAAACUAUCUGGAGGCACUCUUUCCACAACUGCUCUGCCGCCAAAAAAAACCCUGACCUAGAGGACUAUAUGGAACUAUUCCUAUUCCAAGUUCCCUGCAAAGAGGAAUCAUUUAUUCCUCAAGGUCUCGAGACCAAAGUGACCAUUCCAUUUGCACAGCAGUGAUCGGAUGAAUUGCAUGUGCCCUCCUUAUUGUGUCAGGACUUGCUUCAGAUAACCCAAUGUACUUAAUUUUUCCUUCUUCCACUAAUUUCUUAAGCUCCCUCAUAGUUUCCUCUAUUGGUACAGAAGUGUCAAUGCGAUGUUGAUAGUACAGAUCAAUAUAUUCAACGCCAAGACGAUUGAGGCUAGCCUCACAGCAUGCACGGACGUAUUCAGGUUUGCCAUUAAUUAAAGCAUUUUUAAAAUCGAAGUUGUUGACAGCAACACCGAAUUUUGUAGCCAACUGUAUUUUUUCUCUAGGCAAUUGCUUCAAGGCCUGCAAGAAGCAAGUACGAAUCGUGAUGGCAUAUAUGGUGCUGGAGCAACAGAUUUCUUGGUUGGACACUUACCUUGCCAACCAAGACUUCAUUGGUGUAAGGUCCAUAAACAUCAGCUGUGUCUAAAAAUGUAAUUCCUCUGUUGAAUGACUCCUUGAUGAUUGAAAUGCCAACUUCUUCUGGGACAGGGGAGUUGUAACCACCACUAAGCCCCAUACAUCCAAACCCUAGCUUUGAGACCUGAAAUUAGAUCAACAUCACCAAAAAUGAACGAGAAGACAAAUGAAAAGCGUAAGGAAACCAGCAGUUCAAGAAUAUAUGAAACAAAACAUUACCAAACAAAAGUCCUAUUCAGAUUUAAAGAACAAAUUCAAAUUAGUUAUUUCUUUAUUGGGUUUGUAUUAAUUAAUAGAGAAUUAAAAAUGAAUUAUUGAUCAACAAUGAAUAAACAAGAACAUAAAGGAAUUGUAAUUGCAUAAGAUGGAAUGGGUUUUACCUCUAAUCCUUGGGUGCCCAAUUUCACCCUUGGAAUUACAAAUUUCUGCUUAUCUGCCAUCUUUCCCUACUCUGCUCCUGUUUCCUUUCCUGUUGCUGUGGAUGGAAUGAUUGGCUAGACUAAUAUGGCCAGUUGACUAGACUAAUAUGGCCAGCGACGUAUGGCCACAUGUCAGCUCUCAGAAACGUGUGAUGUGCAAUCAACAAAUGAGAUUUGCUUUGGUUACAUACCAGUGAGAUUUUGGCUAAUUUUAUUUCUAAAUCAGCGGGUUAAUUUAGUAAAUUUUUAACUUUACAUGAUUUUUAUAAAAUAAAAUUAAAAUUUUAUAAAUUUUAUAAAAAAAAUUAAAUUUUAAAUUUUAUGAAAAUAUCCAUAAAAUUAAAUAUAUUUCAAAAUUUUUUAACAAUAAACUUAGGGUAUAUUGAU